GGAUAGUUCAAGUGCAGUGGUGUUUACAACUAACUGAUCACAACCACGUAUGGAGUUCUUUCUCUACUCCCACUGCUUCACUUGACUAGCCAAAA
This is an unclassified non-coding RNA of Gorilla gorilla gorilla (western lowland gorilla), 95 nucleotides long. It matches the Rfam family "Y RNA". From Rfam's summary of the family: Y RNAs are components of the Ro ribonucleoprotein particle (Ro RNP), in association with Ro60 and La proteins. The Y RNAs and Ro60 and La proteins are well conserved, but the function of the Ro RNP is not known. In humans the RNA component can be one of four small RNAs -- hY1, hY3, hY4 and hY5. NCBI's taxonomy places the organism in Eukaryota, Metazoa, Chordata, Mammalia, Primates, Hominidae. The record is from Ensembl.